GCUUUACAAAACUGAAUUAAAUUAGGGCACAAUUUUAUGUAAUCACGCUUCCUCUUCGCGCUACCGAAAUCCUCGUUGCCGUCGCCGUCGCCGUCGCCGCUCCAGCUCCGUCGCCGCUCCAGCCCGUCGCCGUCGUCGCCGCUCCAGCUCCGUCGCCGUCGCCGUCGUUGCCGCUCCAGCUCCGUCGCCGUCGCCGUCGUCGCCGCUCCAGCUCCGUCGCCGUCGCCGUCGUCGCCGCUCCAGGACAGCAUCACUGAUGCCGUGUAAGUUUAAUUCGAUGAGGAGAUGAAGUGUGUGUGUGUGUGUGUGUGUUCCCUCUUCCUCUUCGCCGCUACCUAAGUCCUCUCCGCCGUUGCCGUCGCCACUCCAGCCCGUCGUCGCCGCUCCAGGACAACAUCACCGAUGCCUUGACAACAUCACAGCUUCAAUCAACUACUACCAAUUAUUCACCGCCACUUAGGAGCAAGAUUAGAGGUAGUUUAUUCAUCUUUUUUGCUGCAUGGCAUCAGAGAUUGGUGAUUGAAUCUUUCACCUCAGAGAUCUGUAAGUCACUUGUUUCUCUCCCUUUUCCAAGAGUAGAUUUAUUUUCCAUGAUAUAUUGUUUCUAUUCACAUAGUUGAUUGCGGGAUUUGGUGGAUUUGCAACUGCUUUUGAUGUUAUGGCAGAUUCUAAUGUGUUGUGUGAUGCAAUAAGUGGUAGUCCAUAUAGAAGAAAAACACUAAUUGAGAAUAAAAGCAAGUAAGAUUUGCAAAAUCAGUACAAACAUUCUGAAAUUAGCUUCGGCAGUGAAAAAAUGGAGUGUGAGAAAAAAAGAAACUAAUGUCAUGACAUUUGUGUGAGUUUAAUAUAAAAUUAAUAAAAAUAUAUUUAUGAAAAUUGAGGUUCAUUUUCAUACUCUAUUUUGUAAAUGAAAUGUACAUGUGCAGUUUCACUGUGUGAAUUUUUUGUGGUUGUUUGAAUUGAAACAGAAAUGACAUGGAACAAUUUAUUCAACUCAUGCUACAUAAUACAUGUUUUAGAUGUUAAAUUCGUUUUGGCCAAGGUGCUUGAAUUGCUUCCUCUUAAUAUGCAUAUAAAUUAUGUAUGCAUGUGAUAUAUUUUGCUAUCUAUGUUUCUUACUAUCUUAUGUUUCUUAUGAAGCUACAAUUGCUAUAUUAGAGCCUUAGGACCACUAUCAGUCUUCAAUAAAUGUAAGUUCUUUUUCAAUCUUCUACAUACAUAUUCGUAUUAUGAUAGCAAGGCAAAAAGUAUUGUUUGUGUAAUUAAUCUAGCUCUAACCUUAUUUCAUAAAAUAAAUACUCUUUGUGGAGUAACAUGUCAGUAGCCUUAGUAGUCCAGUGAACCUUAACUGAAUCAAGAUUAGAGACAGCUAACUCACCUCACCAACUAUGGUAUUCAGACAUAGAGAGAUAGAAAAGGGAGGCAUGUGGAUGGCAUAAAGGUUGUGAAAAGAGUGGUGUUUGGGAGCAUCAAUUUUUAUGAUUUAGUUUAUAGUAGCAUGCUAUAUAUAUAUUGUUUAGUUGGUGGCUAGGCUUGGAGUGGAGCCUUGCCGGCUCUGGCGACCAUAUGUGCUGAGAAGUGAGGUGAUGUUAUUUUGUUGAUGUUAUAUUAUGAUUUAAUUAUCUCUUAAGCAUGCUAAAUUGUGUUUGAAAUAUUUUAGUUCGUUAGUAGAUUACUUAAUAUGGCUAUCUAGAUGACUAACUAUUAUCAUGAUUCGUGAAUUAUUAAUUAGGAUUUAUAACAAUGAGUGCAAAUUGUGAAUGGAUGUAUAGGCAGCUUCUUUCCAACGGUGAAUUUAAUCCUGCUUUUUAGAGGGGAUUACCGAUUUCAUUAGAUUUGCAUUUAAUCCUACUUGAGUUAUUUAUAUUUCUGCAUAUCUAUGGCCAUUUUUCUUGUUCAUUCUUUAUAUGACUACUCUAAAAUGUAGUGCAUUUUGGCCUGCGUUUGUUGAAAUUUAACUGAGUUUGUUUCCGUUGUAGGAUUUUUAGUUAUUGGAUUUGUCUGAUAACAGAUGGUUGAAGUUUUACUUGGACUGGAAGUAGUAAUUAGAGAAUUCUAAAUUUGGUGAUUUAUUAGCCAACAUAUACAGAACGAUUUGGUUGACUAAUAUGUUAGAUUUUUGGAAUCAGCCUUGUCUAUUAGGUUCUUUUAAUUACUCUUUAAUAUCAUUGGAAAACAUUAGUUUUAAUGCUAAUAUAUAUAUGUGUUGCUUCAGGAGGUGGCUCAAAGAUGAACAGUUAACUUUGAUCCAAGAUUUUGAAAGGAAGGAGACAAAGUUCAUGAGACUAGGAAGGAACAAUAUAAUUGUAAAUGAUAAAUUUGCCAACGGUCCCACCAGACAUGAGACUGAGAAGGAACAUGAAUCGCUAUUUUGUUAUUUAACUAAGAGCAUCCGCAGCGGUGAGCAGCAUGCUCACCGCCGUCCUUGCCGCUGGCAAGGACGAAGCUCGUCCGUUGAUGCACGAGGUGGCGACGUGGCAGCUUCUGAUUGGCCCGUUGAUUUAUCAUUUAUUAUUAUUAUUUUUUUAA
Molecule: long non-coding RNA, 2529 nt
Organism: Salvia splendens (bonfire salvia)
Lineage: Eukaryota; Viridiplantae; Streptophyta; Magnoliopsida; Lamiales; Lamiaceae
Exons: 3
Source: RefSeq, a predicted model, not a curated record